This 600-nucleotide ribosomal RNA is filed under the name uncultured Gammaproteobacteria bacterium. RNAcentral describes it as "bacterial SSU rRNA". It matches the Rfam family "Bacterial small subunit ribosomal RNA", at positions 70 to 662 of the family's 1533-position model. The record is from RNAcentral. Lineage: Bacteria; Pseudomonadati; Pseudomonadota; Gammaproteobacteria.
UGUUCUAACUUCGGUUGGAAUGAUGGCGAGUGGCGGACGGGUGAGUAACGCGUAGGAAUCUACCUAGGAGUGGGGGAUAACUCGAGGAAACUCGAGCUAAUACCGCAUACGCUCUACGGAGGAAAGCUGGGGACCUUUGGGCCUGGCGCUUUUAGAUGAGCCUGCGUCAGAUUAGCUAGUUGGUAGGGUAAUGGCCUACCAAGGCGACGAUCUGUAGCUGAUUUGAGAGGAUGAUCAGCCACACUGGGACUGAGACACGGCCCAGACUCCUACGGGAGGCAGCAGUGGGGAAUUUUGGACAAUGGGCGAAAGCCUGAUCCAGCAAUGCCGCGUGUGCGAUGACGGCCUUCGGGUUGUAAAGCACUUUCAGUUGUGAAGAAAUGUGCACGGUUAAUACCCGUGUAAGCUGACGUUAACAACAAAAGAAGCACCGGCUAACUCUGUGCCAGCAGCCGCGGUAAUACAGAGGGUGCGAGCGUUAAUCGGAAUUACUGGGCGUAAAGAGCGCGUAGGUGGUCUACUAAGUCAUGUGUGAAAGCCCUGAGCUUAACUUAGGAAUUGCAUGUGAUACUGGUAGUCUAGAGUAUGGUAGAGGGAAGU